Molecule: small nucleolar RNA, 109 nt
Filed under: Cavia porcellus (domestic guinea pig)
Lineage: Eukaryota; Metazoa; Chordata; Mammalia; Rodentia; Caviidae
Description: Small nucleolar RNA U13
Rfam family: Small nucleolar RNA U13
Source: Rfam by way of RNAcentral
AUCCUGAGGUCUUUUGGUUCAUGAGCAUCAGGGCUGGGUAUUCAUGCCGCUGUGUGAGAUGUGUCCCCCUCAGACAUCGGUAGGACGUCAGGACAUGACCUGUUUGGUG